This is a long non-coding RNA of Sander lucioperca (pikeperch), 1039 nucleotides long. RefSeq lists it as uncharacterized. The transcript has 2 exons. The record is from RefSeq and is a predicted model, not a curated record. NCBI's taxonomy places the organism in Eukaryota, Metazoa, Chordata, Actinopteri, Perciformes, Percidae.
UUACACCUAUCACCAUUUCUAGCCACUGGGGGACCAUAGGCAGGCUGGGGGAACUCAUAUUAAUGUUAAAAAAAACCUCAAAGCGUAAUUUUCAUGCUAUGGGACCUUAUGAAAAUAAGCUGUGAGGUUGGUUUUCUAAAGUAAAACUGGAUAUGUCUUGCUCUAUCCCUCACAUGAUGCAUUGCUGUAGAUUAAACUACCCAACAUUUGUAGUUGUACUUGUAGUGGAGUAUUUUCACACUGUGGUAUAAGUAUUUUACUUAAGUGAAGGAUCUAAAUAGUUCUUUCACCACUGCACGUAUGUACAAAGUAUGAAUUUAAUAUUACAGUGAUCUAAAAAAUCUUGAUAAUAAAAUAAAUUACUGUUGUGUAUAUCUUUUCUUGUAAAAUGAAACUGAAAAUCCUCUCCUCUCUCGCCCCAAUGUUUUUGUCUACCUCGUCUCUACGUUGCUGCUGGACCAUCAGUGUUGGUUACCCCCGUGGCAACUCGACAGUCCGCUGGCCUCCAGCUCCUCUCCCUCUCCCUCUCCAUCUAUCUAUGAGAUCAUUCACCUCUCUCCUAUCACUCUACCCACUCAUCCCUUAAUAUAAGACGUUCUAUCUCUCCUGUCAAAUCUAAUACAUCUAUCUAAUUUUGAGGUUUUCUAUCUCUCCUGUCAUAUCUAAUAUAUCUAUCUAAAUUUUGGAAAUUCUAUCAUUCUAUCCCUCUAAUUCUAUCCCGCUCUAUCUCCUUGCAUUCUUGCAAGAAACCUGUUUUUUUGGAACGAUAUAUUUGAAACUUGUCUUUUGGAACCUGAUAUUAACAGAUUACUGGUAUCUGUUUUGGAUUCAUGGGUUGAUUGGAACCUGAUCAUUCUGUUUUAUGGUUCUGUGAGUUUCUCUGCUCACACUUUUUCUACCUCUCCUGUCUCUCUCUCACACACAUUUGAUUUGGCCUUUUCAAUUGGCAAAAACCUUAUUAUUGUAUUUUUGAAUUGUCCAUAUUGUAUCAAUAUUCUAUUUGGUAACAGUCAUAAUUAAAUAAAUUAUUAAGUAUUUU